This 672-nucleotide ribosomal RNA is filed under the name Triticum aestivum (bread wheat). Its description in RNAcentral is "partial small subunit ribosomal RNA". Lineage: Eukaryota; Viridiplantae; Streptophyta; Magnoliopsida; Poales; Poaceae. The record is from RNAcentral.
AUGGACUACAGCAACGAGGCCACGAUUACCGCCGCGGCGCAACCUUACGGCCGCUCCAUGUCGCCGCCGUCGCGCGUGUCGUCGUGCUCGCCGCCCCCUGUAUUCCCGCUGAUGGGCAACGCGCCGUCGUCGCCGCCGACCAUCGUCCUCAGCCCGUGCGCGGCCUGCAAGGUCCUCCGCCGCCGCUGCGCCGACGGCUGCAUGCUGGCGCCCUACUUCCCGCCGACCGAGCCCGCCAAGUUCACCACCGCCCACCGCGUCUUCGGUGCCAGCAACAUCAUCAAGCUCCUCCAGGAUUUGCCGGAGAGCUCGCGGGCAGACGCGGUGAGCAGCAUGGUGUACGAGGCGGAGGCGCGGCUGCGGGACCCGGUGUACGGGUGCGCCGGGGCUGUGUGCCGGCUGCAGAAGGAGGCCAACGAGCUCAAGGUGGACCUGGCGCGGGCGCAGGCCGACCUCCUCAGCAUCCAGACACAACACGCCAACCUCCUCGCCCUCGUCUGCGUCGAGUUUGCUGCCAACCACCGAGGCGAUCAGCAGCUGCACCAGCCACCGCCACUGGGCGACCAGCUGAACGGCAUCGGUGGUAGCGGCGGCGGCGCCAUGUACCAACCGCUAUACGACUCGGACUUCGACUCCGGGGCGUGGGAAGAGGCCCGGCAGCUCUGGACCUGA